Molecule: long non-coding RNA, 219 nt
Filed under: Elaeis guineensis (African oil palm)
Lineage: Eukaryota; Viridiplantae; Streptophyta; Magnoliopsida; Arecales; Arecaceae
Description: long non-coding RNA (EGUI_LNC015095)
Source: RNAcentral
UGUAGAAGUGCAGACGUGCUAUUGAUGUUAACUAUUCUUGGCUGGUUACAGUGGUUUAGUUGCAUCGAAAAUAUACAAAUACUCUACUAGCAAAGAGUUUCUCCAGAGUGAAGAUGGGGUUGAAUCCAAUAUGUGUUAUCGAAGGAACUCAAUGAUGGCUUCGUAUCUGCUUGUGAACGAUAGGUUUGGCUUUACUAAGGAGUGGAACAAUAUAUGUUA